AGUGAACGCUGGCGGUAGGCCUAACACAUGCAAGUCGAACGGCAGCACAGGCGAGCUUGCUCUCUGGGUGGCGAGAGGCGGACGGGUGAGGAAUACAUCGGAAUCUACUUUUUCGUGGGGGAUAACGUAGGGAAACUUACGCUAAUACCGCAUACGACCUACGGGUGAAAGCAGGGGACCUUCGGGCCUUGCGCGAUUGAAUGAGCCGAUGUCGGAUUAGCUAGUUGGCGGGGUAAAGGCCCACCAAGGCGACGAUUCGUAGCUGGUCUGAGAGGAUGAGCAGCCACACUGGAACUGAGACACGGUCCAGACUCCUACGGGAGGCAGCAGUGGGGAAUAUUGGACAAUGGGCGCAAGCCUGAUCCAGCCAUACCGCGUGGGUGAAGAAGGCCUUCGGGUUGUAAAGCCCUUUUGUUGGGAAAGAAAUCCAGCUGGCUAAUACCCGGUUGGGAUGACGGUACCCAAAGAAUAAGCACCGGCUAACUUCGUGCCAGCAGCCGCAGUAA
Molecule: ribosomal RNA, 506 nt
Filed under: uncultured bacterium
Lineage: Bacteria
Description: partial 16S ribosomal RNA
Rfam family: Bacterial small subunit ribosomal RNA
Source: RNAcentral